Molecule: ribosomal RNA, 553 nt
Filed under: uncultured archaeon
Lineage: Archaea
Description: bacterial SSU rRNA
Rfam family: Archaeal small subunit ribosomal RNA
Source: RNAcentral
CGGGGUGCAGCAGGCGCGAAAACUUUACAAUGCUGGCAACAGCGAUAAGGGGACCUUGAGUGCCAGGAUACAAUCCUGGCUGUCGUGAUGCCUAAAAAGCAUUAUAUAGCAAGGGCCGGGCAAGACCGGUGCCAGCCGCCGCGGUAACACCGGCGGCUCGAGUGGUAACCGCUAUUAUUGGGUCUAAAGGGUCUGUAGCCGGCUUGGUUAGUCUCUUGGGAAAUUCGGCAGCUUAACUGUCGGGCUUUCAGGAGAUACUGCCAGGCUCGAGACCGGGAGAGGUGAGAGGUACUUCAUGGGUAGGGGUGAAAUCUUGUAAUCCUUGAAGGACCACCAGUGGCGAAGGCGUCUCACCAGAACGGAUCUGACGGCAAGGGACGAAAGCUAGGGGCACGAACCGGAUUAGAUACCCGGGUAGUCCUAGCCGUAAACGAUACUCGCUAGGUGUCGGCCACGGUGCGACCGUGGUCGGUGCCGUAGGGAAGCCGUGAAGCGAGCCACCUGGGAAGUACGGCCGCAAGGCUGAAACUUAAAGGAAUUGGCGGGGGAGCAC